GACGAACGCUGGCGGCGUGCCUAACACAUGCAAGUCGAACGGGACCAGGGGCAACUCUGGUUCAGUGGCGGACGGGUGCGUAACACGUGAGGAACAUGACUUUCGGCGGGGGAUAGCCGGCCCAACGGCCGGGUAAGUACCGCGUACGACCUGUUGGGGACGAUCCCCGAUUGGUGAAAGCAGCAAUGCGCCGAAAGAGUGCCUCGCGGCCUAUCAGCUAGUUGGUGGGGUAAUGGCUCACCAAGGCGACGACGGGUAGGCUGGUCUGAGAGGAUGGCCAGCCACAUUGGGACUGAGACACGGCCCAGACUCCUACGGGAGGCAGCAGUGGGGAAUAUUGCGCAAUGGGCGAAAGCCUGACGCAGCGACGCCGCGUGUGGGAUGACGGCC
This 390-nucleotide ribosomal RNA is filed under the name uncultured bacterium. Its description in RNAcentral is "bacterial SSU rRNA". It matches the Rfam family "Bacterial small subunit ribosomal RNA", at positions 28 to 416 of the family's 1533-position model. The record is from RNAcentral.